This 524-nucleotide ribosomal RNA is filed under the name uncultured Zygoascus. RNAcentral's name for it is "eukaryotic LSU rRNA". It matches the Rfam family "Eukaryotic large subunit ribosomal RNA", at positions 62 to 599 of the family's 3401-position model. Lineage: Eukaryota; Fungi; Ascomycota; Dipodascomycetes; Dipodascales; Trichomonascaceae. The record is from RNAcentral.
AAACCAACAGGGAUUGCCUUAGUAGCGGCGAGUGAAGCGGCAAAAGCUCAAAUUUGAAAUCUGGUACUUUCAGUAUCCGAGUUGUAAUUUGUAGAAGCAACUUUGGUGAUGGUCUUUGCAUAAGUUCCUUGGAAUAGGACGUCAUAGAGGGUGAGAAUCCCGUUUAUGGUGAAGAACCCACACUAUGUAAAGUGCUUUCGAAGAGUCGAGUUGUUUGGGAAUGCAGCUCAAAGUGGGUGGUAAAUUCCAUCUAAAGCUAAAUAUUGGCGAGAGACCGAUAGCGAACAAGUACUGUGAAGGAAAGAUGAAAAGAACUUUGAAAAGAGAGUGAAAAAGUACGUGAAAUUGUUGAAAGGGAAGGGAUCUAAAUCAGACAUGGUAUUUGUGAUCAACAGUCUUUCGGGACUGUGCACUCGCAUUUUACUAGGCCAGCAUCGGUUAGAGGGGUAAAAAGAUUUUGGAAUGUGGCUCUUCGGAGUGUUAUAGCCAAGGUUAAUUGCCCCAUUUCUGACCGAGGACCGUCG